RNAcentral lists this ribosomal RNA (438 nucleotides) under uncultured bacterium. RNAcentral's name for it is "partial 16S ribosomal RNA". It matches the Rfam family "Bacterial small subunit ribosomal RNA", at positions 339 to 795 of the family's 1533-position model. The record is from RNAcentral.
CUACGGGUGGCUGCAGUGAGGAAUAUUGCACAAUGGGGGGAACCCUGAUGCAGCAACGCCGCGUGGAGGAUGACGCAUUUCGGUGUGUAAACUCCUUUUAUAUGUCAGGAAAAUGACGGUAGCAUAUGAAUAAGCACCGGCUAAUUCCGUGCCAGCAGCCGCGGUAAUACGGAGGGUGCAAGCGUUACUCGGAAUCACUGGGCGUAAAGGACGCGUAGGCGGGUUGGAAAGUCAGGUGUGAAAUCCUACAGCUUAACUGUAGAACUGCACUUGAAACUUCUAAUCUAGAGUAUGGGAGGGGGAGAUGGAAUUAGUGGUGUAGGGGUAAAAUCCGUAGAUAUCACUAGGAAUACCUAAAGCGAAGGCGAUCUCCUGGAACAUUACUGACGCUAAGGCGUGAAAGCGUGGGGAGCAAACAGGAUAGAUACCCCAGUAGUC